GAUAAUUCGAUAUAAUCUUUGUCCUACGACGUAGCUGAACAUGUGUGUAUAUAUAUAUAUGUGUAUACAGGUACGCGUAAUGCGCGUGUACAUCGCAUGUAACUUUCAUGGUUUGACGAUUAGGAGAGUCGUGGCAACUUUCAUGAAUUGCCUCAUUAAACUGAACGCAACUGAACGAGAAAGAGAUUCCUUUUAGACUAUUCAUCUUCGUUAGACUCUAUUGACUGUUAAGUUCACACGAACUUCUGUAACAUAGUAUAUAGAAUUUUUGUUACUCUUUAAUGAUACACUUUGACAGGCGAUAAUUCCUUGAUCGGUGGAAACUGGCGCGAAAGUUCGUUUUCAUUGAAAAUAAAAUUAUACGAUUAACGAUGUGACCCAGUGUAAGCUGGCCGAAUUAAGCUAUCACUUUGACACUUCAACGACCGUAAUCCGUACCAUGAGUGGUUCGUGUUAUCGAAGUGUGUUAUUCUAUUAAACUCGUUACGCGGCUAACGCGAGAGACCAGUCUGCUCGAGUAUGCGUUACCAUGUUCCGAGUAGUGUCUCUCGGACUGGUCACGAAAUUCGGCUUUUCCAAAAAUAAGAUAUCGUUGUAUUUCUCUUAUUUCCCAUUACUCGUUAAGCACCUUCCGCAUUUAUAGUCGGGACGAAGUUGCAAGAACUUGACCUGUCCAAGUUAAGAAGGAAGGACGAGAAGGAAACGGAAGGAGAAAAAGUAAAUGGAGGGAAAGACAGGACGAAGAGCAGUCGAUGAAGAUAGGUAGAAAAGGAUAAGGGAGGAAAUAGGAGAGAAAGGAAAAGGUGAGAAAAUGGAAGGAAAAAGGUGAAGAAAAGUGGAGAAGAAAACAAGACAGAAGUGAAGGAAGAAACUGUGGAAGAAAAGGGAAGGAGAGAUUCUACGAAGAAACGAAAUGAAAGAAACGACAGAAGAGAAAAGUAUUAGAUAAUAAAAGAUAAUUGAACCCACCUCUUGACGAAGAUUGGAAUCAACGAAAUUCUUGACCACGUUGACCGAUAAAGCUUGCUUGUUCUCCAACGUAUGUAUAUCACAGAGUCUCUUCAAAUAAUUGCAAAUGAUAUUUGCUUUACGUAAAUAUCACAAAAUUUCAAGAUAGGGAAGAUAGAGGAACCGAUAUGAGUGUCCUCCGAGUAAUCACGACGACGACUUCACUGAUAUCUGAUUUAGUUGGCGAGAGGGUGGAGGUAACAUAUAAAUGUUCGCCAGGAGUACCGCAGGCGCAGAGGCACCCUGUUUUGCUUAUCUAAUAGUCUACGGGUGGGGGUUUCUACUUCUACCUAUCGUGUGCGAGAUACUACCCCAUGCCACAUCCCAGUAUUGCAUUAGUGUUUAAAGGAGCAACCAGUGGUAGAGGGGGGCUAACACCUGUUAUGAAGGGGAAGAUACGCGAGGUCGGAAGUUACCAGCUUCUACUCGAUCAAAAUAAAAACUGACCUUUCCUUCGUACCAUAUUUUUCCAUAUUUCGUUCCCUUUACGUCACCUCCUCCGAGCUCUUCAUUGAAUUUCCACGCUUAUUCGAUCUUUGUCUUAUGAGUCUUCGUUCUUUCUAUGUUUAUGUGUUCUUUAUAAUUUUUCAUCUUUCUCUGCUGUUCUUUAUGAUUUGCUAUGAUCUUUCAUUUUUUUCUGAUAACGCAAACGGCCCCAUUUAAAAUGCACGUUUCAAUAUCCUGUCGUGCCGAUUCUGGUACAUUACGUUGCCGUUACGCGACGGUCCGUAUAGUAUAAAUUGAUCCUUAAUCAAACGUAACUUAUCUGAAAGUUUCGAUUCGUGUGUGAAGAUCGUAAAUUUCUAGAAAUUUUCAUGAAAUUUUUCUUGUUUUUCCAAUAAAUUGUUCUACGCACAUUUAGUCCCUAUCAGAUUUCAAUAAAGUUAAUCGUACCGGCUAUGCGAUUCAAUUUAAUUGGUCAGUUGGUUUGUCCCCGGCUCAGCCAGCAAGGUCUUGGUGCACGUCGAUCGAGGGAAAAUAACAUCACAAGAGAAGAACGAUUGCAAUAUUGCGCAUGUCGGUGCAACAUGUCCCAAUUUUGUUUUGUUUAUUAGUUCAUAUCAUUUUUUGUUUAUCAUAUAAAAAUUUAUUAUUAUAUAUAAUAAUUACAUUAUAAUAAACAAAAACUGUUUAUUAUAUAAAUGUUUAUAAAAAUUUAUUGUACUGUGUUAUAUCAAUACAUCGUAUGGCCUAAAUAAACUUUUCGGAAAUAAAAAUACCGUAUUUACUUCACAGUUUAAAAUUCCGAUACUAUAGCGUAUUGUUGAAUUUUAUUGGAAUUUUUUUCAUUGCCUGCUAUUUGUUCCAAAUUAUUUUCAAUAAAUGUUGAAAGAUCUAUGAUCUUAAUGAUACAGAAAAUAGCAGAAAUUCAUCGAUAAAGAGAUCAUUUACCGAGAUCAUUAUUGCAAUGCGAGUAAGAAGAGAAAAUUUAAAUACCCUCCUUCCUUGGUUUAUUCGAUUAUUCAUAAUCCAGAUGCAGAGCUAUGUUUGAAACUCAAAGCCUGUUACAGAAAAUACAUCGAGAGCUCAUUAGAAACUAGUGAAAUCCAUUUCCAUUGAAGUCGGGGAAUCUCCUGUCAAAGUAUGUUUUUCCAUCGCGGCUAAACGUUGAAAACCUCUCAUUAAAAUAUUAAUUAUAACCAAACAUUCAAUUGAUUUUUACCAUGAAAAAGAAAUUACAACUAACGACGUACCUAUAGUUAUAGUUACAGUAUAUAUAUUAUAGUAUAAUAUAGUUAUAGUUAUAUAUAUAUAUAUGUUAUAUGUUAUAUGUUAUAUGUUAUAUGUUAUAUAUAUAUAGUUAAUAUAUAUGUCAUAAUACAAUAUAGUUAUAGUUAUGGUAUAUAUAUUAUAGUAUAAUAUAGUUAUAGUUAUAGGAUAGGUUAAACACAUGACGUGUACGAAACUAGGAAAGUUCAUUUCACAGGUAGCAUAUACAUACUCGGGCUUAGAAUAGUUCCACGAGGUAAAAAGAAACACAAUUAAGUUGAUUGUAGAAGAGAAGAGAAAAUUGUAGAAGAGAAAACGUAGAAGAGAAAAUUGUAUUUCAGUUUUUUCAACUAUACUACGUCUGUCUGGAAAGUAUCCGAUCUGUGGAUAUAUCCUUUUACCUCGAUAUU
Molecule: long non-coding RNA, 3128 nt
Organism: Bombus terrestris (buff-tailed bumblebee)
Lineage: Eukaryota; Metazoa; Arthropoda; Insecta; Hymenoptera; Apidae
Exons: 2
Source: RefSeq, a predicted model, not a curated record